AAGAAGUCUCCGUUCUCCUCUCUCAGCCUACCCAGCUCUCAUCUAUACAGACCGGAGCAUAAUAAAAAAAAAAAAAAAAAAAACCAAAGCGGCUCUGCAAUCAGCCGGACCCACUCGCCUCUCCAGCAGCAUGGCUCGCUUGCCCUCCAAACGUGCUGGUCCAGCUGAUCAGAAGCUGGACACACACAGCCCAAGUGGAUGGCCGGGAUGUUAGUGGAGUCCCAGAUGAAAUGGAAGAAAGCCUUCCUCUCAAGCUGGAAACCGUGUUCUUCCUCCUCUUUACUACUCUUAGAGAUGUCAAAACAGCUUCCUCUUCUCAAGGCUUGGGAUGGCUAAGGACGGACCCACUGGACCUUUCAAAUUCCACUCCCCAAAGAGUUCGGAAAUCAGGAAGUAAAGACUCGGCAGCAGAAGAAAGCUCAGCCUUGGUUUUCACGGUUGCCCGGGAGGUAGCUCAAUGGAAGGGCCUUCCGGCAGAAAGGGAACUGGGCCGGUCAGACUUCGAGGAGGGACCCAUUGAGUCUGCAGUAUGGCCUCACCUGUUUGGCCCUUAGUUUGCUCAUGUGCAAACAAGGUCUCUGGACUAAUCCAAUGAAUGAAUCCCUGCAAAUCUUCAGUGGAAUACGGCAUGCACAACACAGG
RNAcentral lists this long non-coding RNA (642 nucleotides) under Mus caroli (Ryukyu mouse). RNAcentral's name for it is "predicted gene, 19461 (MGP_CAROLIEiJ_G0002398.1)". Lineage: Eukaryota; Metazoa; Chordata; Mammalia; Rodentia; Muridae. The record is from RNAcentral.